AGUGUCGUAGUUCAAUGGUAGAAUCCCCGACUGUCUAUCGGGAGGUUGCGGGUUCGAAUCCCGUCGGCACUG
This 72-nucleotide transfer RNA is filed under the name Flavobacteriaceae bacterium. Its description in RNAcentral is "tRNA-Asp". It matches the Rfam family "tRNA". From Rfam's summary of the family: Transfer RNA (tRNA) molecules are approximately 80 nucleotides in length. Their secondary structure includes four short double-helical elements and three loops (D, anti-codon, and T loops). Further hydrogen bonds mediate the characteristic L-shaped molecular structure. tRNAs have two regions of fundamental functional importance: the anti-codon, which is responsible for specific mRNA codon recognition, and the 3' end, to which the tRNAs corresponding amino acid is attached (by aminoacyl-tRNA synthetases). tRNAs cope with the degeneracy of the genetic code in two manners: having more than one tRNA (with a specific anti-codon) for a particular amino acid; and 'wobble' base-pairing, i.e. permitting non-standard base-pairing at the 3rd anti-codon position. The record is from RNAcentral. Lineage: Bacteria; Pseudomonadati; Bacteroidota; Flavobacteriia; Flavobacteriales; Flavobacteriaceae.